RNAcentral lists this ribosomal RNA (496 nucleotides) under uncultured Sphingobacteriales bacterium. Its description in RNAcentral is "bacterial SSU rRNA". It matches the Rfam family "Bacterial small subunit ribosomal RNA", at positions 903 to 1382 of the family's 1533-position model. The record is from RNAcentral. Lineage: Bacteria; Pseudomonadati; Bacteroidota; Sphingobacteriia; Sphingobacteriales.
UGCCAGCCGCUCAGAAACUUAAAGGAAUUGACGGGGGCCCGCACAAGCGUGGAGCAUGUGGUUUAAUUCGAUGAUACGCGAGGAACCUUACCUGGGCUCAAAUGUAUGUUGACGUAUUCUGAAAGGGAUACUUCUUCGGACAAUAUACAAGGUGCUGCAUGGUUGUCGUCAGCUCGUGCCGUGAGGUGUCGGGUUAAGUCCCAUAACGAGCGCAACCCCUACCUUUAGUUGCCAUCAGGUAAUGCUGGGGACUCUAAAGGAACUGCCUACGCAAGUAGUGAGGAAGGCGGGGAUGACGUCAAAUCAGCACGGCCCUUACGUCCAGGGCUACACACGUGCUACAAUGGCCGAUACAGAGGGCAGCUACCUGGUGACAGGAUGCAAAUCUCCAAAGUCGGUCUCAGUUCGGAUCGGAGUCUGCAACCCGACUCCGUGAAGUUGGAUUCGCUAGUAAUCGCGCAUCAGCCAUGGCGCGGUGAAUACGUUCCCGGGCCUU